This 1417-nucleotide ribosomal RNA is filed under the name Lactiplantibacillus plantarum. RNAcentral's name for it is "bacterial SSU rRNA". It matches the Rfam family "Bacterial small subunit ribosomal RNA". The record is from RNAcentral. Lineage: Bacteria; Bacillati; Bacillota; Bacilli; Lactobacillales; Lactobacillaceae.
AGUCGAACGAACUCUGGUAUUGAUUGGUGCUUGCAUCAUGAUUUACAUUUGAGUGAGUGGCGAACUGGUGAGUAACACGUGGGAAACCUGCCCAGAAGCGGGGGAUAACACCUGGAAACAGAUGCUAAUACCGCAUAACAACUUGGACCGCAUGGUCCGAGCUUGAAAGAUGGCUUCGGCUAUCACUUUUGGAUGGUCCCGCGGCGUAUUAGCUAGAUGGUGGGGUAACGGCUCACCAUGGCAAUGAUACGUAGCCGACCUGAGAGGGUAAUCGGCCACAUUGGGACUGAGACACGGCCCAAACUCCUACGGGAGGCAGCAGUAGGGAAUCUUCCACAAUGGACGAAAGUCUGAUGGAGCAACGCCGCGUGAGUGAAGAAGGGUUUCGGCUCGUAAAACUCUGUUGUUAAAGAAGAACAUAUCUGAGAGUAACUGUUCAGGUAUUGACGGUAUUUAACCAGAAAGCCACGGCUAACUACGUGCCAGCAGCCGCGGUAAUACGUAGGUGGCAAGCGUUGUCCGGAUUUAUUGGGCGUAAAGCGAGCGCAGGCGGUUUUUUAAGUCUGAUGUGAAAGCCUUCGGCUCAACCGAAGAAGUGCAUCGGAAACUGGGAAACUUGAGUGCAGAAGAGGACAGUGGAACUCCAUGUGUAGCGGUGAAAUGCGUAGAUAUAUGGAAGAACACCAGUGGCGAAGGCGGCUGUCUGGUCUGUAACUGACGCUGAGGCUCGAAAGUAUGGGUAGCAAACAGGAUUAGAUACCCUGGUAGUCCAUACCGUAAACGAUGAAUGCUAAGUGUUGGAGGGUUUCCGCCCUUCAGUGCUGCAGCUAACGCAUUAAGCAUUCCGCCUGGGGAGUACGGCCGCAAGGCUGAAACUCAAAGGAAUUGACGGGGGCCCGCACAAGCGGUGGAGCAUGUGGUUUAAUUCGAAGCUACGCGAAGAACCUUACCAGGUCUUGACAUACUAUGCAAAUCUAAGAGAUUAGACGUUCCCUUCGGGGACAUGGAUACAGGUGGUGCAUGGUUGUCGUCAGCUCGUGUCGUGAGAUGUUGGGUUAAGUCCCGCAACGAGCGCAACCCUUAUUAUCAGUUGCCAGCAUUAAGUUGGGCACUCUGGUGAGACUGCCGGUGACAAACCGGAGGAAGGUGGGGAUGACGUCAAAUCAUCAUGCCCCUUAUGACCUGGGCUACACACGUGCUACAAUGGAUGGUACAACGAGUUGCGAACUCGCGAGAGUAAGCUAAUCUCUUAAAGCCAUUCUCAGUUCGGAUUGUAGGCUGCAACUCGCCUACAUGAAGUCGGAAUCGCUAGUAAUCGCGGAUCAGCAUGCCGCGGUGAAUACGUUCCCGGGCCUUGUACACACCGCCCGUCACACCAUGAGAGUUUGUAACAUCCAAAGUCGGUGGGGUAACCUAU